Molecule: small RNA, 737 nt
Filed under: Arabidopsis thaliana (thale cress)
Lineage: Eukaryota; Viridiplantae; Streptophyta; Magnoliopsida; Brassicales; Brassicaceae
Description: ATSL025740
Source: RNAcentral
UUUUUUUGUGUGCACCAAAUUCAUAGAUUGAAAUUAGAAAGAUACAUGAAGAUUAGGCUUCAUCGGACAAACUCGAGUAACAAAUUCGAAAAUUGAAAAGCUUGACUAUACAUAACUCAAACUUAGAGACACAAGCUGCAGUAAACUUCAUAGGAGAUCAAGAGAAGUGUCGAAACUAACUAACACAAGCAUGCCCAUGAGGAAGGAAGGGAUAACGAAGAAACUUUAUGAGUUGGCAACUCUCUGCGACAUCAAAGCAUGUGCGGUAAUCUAUAGUCCGUACGAGAAUCCAGUGGUGUGGCCGUCAAUCACCAACUUCUGUAGAUAACAAUAAUUCAACGUUAGAGAAAAAAGAAGAAGUUACCAUCAAAACAAUUAACUAAAAGUGUUUUGAAAGAUUUACAAGGGAUUUUAAAAGGGUUUUAUAAGAUUUACAAGAGAUUUUUAAAGGGUUUUAAAAGAUGUACAAGGGUUUUUAAAAGAUUUUUUUAAAGAAUUUACAAGAAAACCCUUUAAAAACUCUUGUAAAUUUUUUUAAAACCUUUUAAAAUCUCUUGUAAAUCAUUUAAAACCUUUUUAAAAUUUUUUUGAUGGAAAAUAGAUUUACUAGGGAUUUUAAAAGAGUUUUAAAAUAUUUACAAAGAAUUUUUAAAGGGUUUUAAAAGAUUUACAAUGGAUUUUAAAAGGGUUUUAAAAGAUUUAUAAGGGAUUUUAAAAGAGUUUUAAUAUUGAUAAAU